Linepithema humile (Argentine ant) is the source of this 1036-nucleotide non-coding RNA. NCBI's taxonomy places the organism in Eukaryota, Metazoa, Arthropoda, Insecta, Hymenoptera, Formicidae. The record is from RefSeq and is a predicted model, not a curated record.
UUCUGCUACCAUUUCUUUAUUCUUUUUUCCAUCAGUUCGCGACUUUUCUGAUGCGUUGAACGUAAUAUUUACUAUCUAAGCGGCCUGGAGUCAAGUAAGCAUACGAUAAAUCGAUUGUUUGACUGAUCCAGUUAUUUCUUACAUCCAUGGAUUUCUCGCAUUCUUUCUCAGCUUAUAACCUCUGGAAGGUUCACCAUGCCAUCGACAGAGGACGCAUAAACCGGCUUUUCGCAGAUCGGAUUUGCACCAAUUUUGCACUCGAAGAUGCUCCAAGCCGCAGCUCGACGUGUAAAUCACUAUGGAAAGGACAUUUGCGAACCGCUCCUUCCCUCUGCUUUCCAUGACCUAUCGCGCGCUCUCUGUCUUCCUCUCUGUUUCUUCUGUAUUCCCAACAAUCUCUAAAGCGUUGUAGCUUUCGUCAGUGGUGCUUCAAUUUUUCCCACAAAAAUCAAGCUACAAGCAGCUCUCUAAUAUUUCGGAUUUAGAUGCCUAACACUUCUGUAUGAUAUUUGCUACAAGAUUCGUGUGAUAAUAUAAUAAUACUCAGAAACCAGAAAGUGUCUAAAAAAAUUAGCACAGAGAAAUAGCAUAGAAGGAUUAGCACAUAUCUUAGGUAUUUGUAUUGUCUAAAAAGUGAUGUAACUAGUUAGGAGAACAAAGAGUUAAAAACAUAGACAGGACUUUAAGCAUCAUAUUUGAUUGCGAAUUAACAAAGUGACGCCGCACCUUGGACGAACCACUGCUGCGCGGUAGCUUUUCUCUCAGGAUGCUGUAGGAGAAAGAUAAAACAAAGAUGAAGUUCAAGGUUACGCUCGCUAUUGCGCAACACAAUCGACGCUCUGUAUAUAUCUGAGAAUUUACAACAGCAUAUACAAGGUAUUCAGGAUUUGAAAUACAGCAGUACACAAAGCAUAAAGAAACUCUCACAAAGAACUGAAAUUGUGAAAGCAAAAAAGACUUAUUGCCUUUCAAAUUUUAUUGUCGUGUUUGAAGAACCAUAUAUGUUUUAUAGUGUUCAAAUCUUUUGAAAUCUUUA